Molecule: long non-coding RNA, 1751 nt
Organism: Panthera uncia (snow leopard)
Lineage: Eukaryota; Metazoa; Chordata; Mammalia; Carnivora; Felidae
Exons: 3
Source: RefSeq, a predicted model, not a curated record
GCGCCCGCGCCCUGAUUCCCGCAGUCUGCACCCCCACCCCCAACACCUUCCCCCAAAGUCCAAAACCAAACGCCUUUGGCCUCCUUCCUUUUCCCGGGGCCGUUGGCCGAAGGUGGCCCUCUUGACUCAUUCCCUUUCCGUUUCUUCCCACAGAUAGGUUCAUUAAUGCUUUUUCCAGCCGGAGUAAACUUAUGGGGGGGGGGGGCGUUCAGUUUACUCGGGCUGGGGAUAACCUGGAGCCUACUGCCCGGGAAGAUCCGGACUCAGACCGAAGGAAACCAACCAUUAAAAAAAUGCAUCCAAUGGGAAUUUUUCCACUCGGGCCCUCGGCUGCCGAGUCGCGGCAGACUCCGGGAGCUAUUUCACCGGCCGACGCGGACUCUGGGCGGUUUCGGAAGGACCCCACCAUCGGGGGCGAGGACUAGGCUCCCAGUGCAUUGUUAGCAGAAGGGCGCCCUCCGGGCGGCGCGCCUCGGCCCUUUGCUCCUGGAGAGCUCCCGGCGCCCGCCCAGGGCCAGAACCGGCAGCACCAUAGGCCACUUCUCCGCGCCUUCUAGGGUCCAACCCCUUGCACUUUACCUGGACCAGAUGGCCCAAGUCCCAGCGUUCGGCCAGAGCCGCCUAUGCAAUGCUACUCCAAGCCCCAAGAAACCUACGCUACCGCGGGACGUUCCCUCCACACUGGUCAACAGGUCUGCAGAGCGCAGCACUCAAGAUCGCGGCACCGUCAUCCCCACCCAGCCGUGAGGCCAGCCGACUUUUGGCCCGCCUUGUCGGCCCCCGCCACCCGGAGACCUCCCCCGUCUUUCUGCAGUGCCGCCGAACCCUCCAGUUGGGGCAGCCUCAGGAGUCCGGCGCGCAGCGAGGAGACAUCCCCCCACCCCACUCCUCCCCCAGGCGCUCUCGGCCUGACUCCCUUCUCCCCAACCUCCCAAACAGGUUACCUUGUCCACGCUCUCCAGACCACGCUUUGGACUUUUUCACGUUUAUUUAAGAGUCCACCCGGGGAAGGAGGAAAAAAAAAUCCAGAGGAGAUCCGAGUCAAUUGGAAAGAAAAAAAAAAAAUUCAAAAGGGUGUCCACAGCGGCGAAAAAGGGUUGCAUGAAAUCAGUGCUCAUGUGUUGGCUUCCUUUUUACAUACAUGGUUUAACCAGGAAUCCUGAGAUCAUCCCUCUGCCCAAGUACCAUGGGUAUGGUCAGCUGAUGGGGGUGUCCUCCCCUAGUUUGGUACCCAACUCUUCAGGUUGUGUGUGUGGACACACACACUCAGGGGAAGGGUCAUGAGAAGGACCUGAGUGAUAUCACUGAGAAGGCAAAGGUUUGCAAGGACUGUAUUAUCUUUGCUCUGUCGACUUGGACUUAACCCUAAAAAAAGAGGAAAGAGAACAGAAUUAAUGAAAGCUUCAAGUUCGGGGUCAUGUGUAGAAGGAGUCACUACCACAGUUUAAGGAGAAUGAAUCGGUGACUUUAAAGGCUUCCAGGCAUAAUUGGAUGGAGUGGGACAGUCAGUGUGUCCUCUGCAACUCUGAAGUGGACGAUGAUUGUCUUAGCUGAAAACGAAACAAACCCUUUGGGACGCUGUUGAGAAAAAUGCCAAAGAAGAAAAAGUGUGCCCACUCUGGCCACCGAAGACACUAGAGCAAUGCUGUCUGAAAUACAGAUGCCAUUUUCAUUCUUCUCUUCUUGCCUUCAGAACCCCAAUUUACAGAAGAAAAAAGAAAAAAAAAACCUUAGACAAAAGUCGAGAAGGG